RNAcentral lists this ribosomal RNA (441 nucleotides) under uncultured rumen bacterium. Its description in RNAcentral is "bacterial SSU rRNA". It matches the Rfam family "Bacterial small subunit ribosomal RNA", at positions 954 to 1393 of the family's 1533-position model. The record is from RNAcentral.
UUAUAACGGGAGAAAACCUACCAAGUCUUGACAUCCUUCUGACAAUACUUAGUAAUGGAGUAUUUCCUUCGGGACAGAUGUGACAGGUGGCGCAUGGUUGUCGUCCUCUCGUGUCGUGAUAUGUUGUUAUAAGUCCCGCAACGAGCGCACCCCUUGUUCUUAAUACCCAGCAUUUCGGCUGGGCACUCUAAGGAGACUGCCGGGGUGAACGUGGAAGAAGGUGGAGAAGACGUCAAAUCAUCAUGCCCCUUAUGACUUGGGCUACACACGUGCUACAAUGGCGUAAACAAAGAGAAGCGAACUUGUGAGAGUGAGCAAAUCUCAAAAAUAACGUCUCAGUUCGGAUUGUAGUCUGCAACUCGACUACAUGAAGCUGGAAUCGCUAGUAAUCGCGUAUCAAAAUGCUGCGGAGAAUACUUUCCCGGCUCGUACACACAGCGA